Molecule: RNA transcript, 3126 nt
Organism: Cannabis sativa
Lineage: Eukaryota; Viridiplantae; Streptophyta; Magnoliopsida; Rosales; Cannabaceae
Exons: 5
Source: RefSeq, a predicted model, not a curated record
AAGCUGGGGAAAGAUGAGGGGGACGGCGAGGAUUGAGAUGAAGGCUAAGAUGUCGUAACCUAGGAAUGCUUGCCAUGUGGGGAUUUCGUCUCUUAAGAAGUACUCAUUUCGCCUCUGUUCAUCGUAAUUUUCCGGUGACAGCUCCUUUGGGGGUGUGAAAGCUGUUGAUGAGAUACGCCGUUGCAGUUCCACUUGGGUACGUUAACUUGUACUUCAUAAUCAUCACCUGUUAAUAUAUAAUUAUUAAUUAUAAUUCUAAUUAUAGAUUCAGCAAAUUAUUAAGUCAGUGAGAUUAGGUAUGUAUAUAUAUGUGUAUAUAUACGGUAUAGGUACCUUUCUGAGGGGCACGAUAGAGAACAAACCAAUAAAGCUGACAACAAAAAGAAAUCCAAUCAUCCACCCAAGUGAGAGAUUCUUGACAUUAUUUGGAGUACUGUUACCUUCAUCUCCUUGGGCAGCUAUGCUCUUACUCAUAGCCAGUAGAUAGCUAGCAGUGCCACCUGUAUAUACAUAUAUUUAUAUAUACGCAUAAUUAUAGUUCUGACAAAGAAAAUAGUAGUAUAUGUAUAAUCUUUCUUGAAAACUCGGUAAUUAUAUGUCCCAGAGCUAUAGGAAUUAUAGUUGAUGGCAUAAUUUUACAUGAAACAUUGACUAACUAUAGUGUAGAAUUACGUAUAUAAUAACGUGAAACAGUACCAUCAAGACUCAGUUUGUCACGUGCGAAAUUUCAUAUGUAUAUAAUAAUAUAUUUACAUACAUAUAUACAUUGAGUCUAAUUAUGUAGCUCAAAGAAUUAUCAAGAAACACAACAACCAAUCCUAUAUACUUAUAGGGUUGAAUAUAAUAAUACCUUUAAACUUAAAGAAAACAAGAACUCACAAACAUUAAUUAUUCAAGAAAAAGUUUUAUAGGGUUUGAUAAAUUAUUCAAGAUCAAUGUACGAUGAUAAUGGUAUUCAAAAGAUCAUAUAUAUAUAGACAUGUAUAGAAGAUUGCUUACUACUAAAAGCGAUUCCAGAGGAGGCAACAACGCAAGUUUGGAUAACAGUAUUUUCUUGGCGAGUGAAGGGUUGUUUCAAGAGACGGAAUUUUUGAAGGAGAGUGGUGUAGGCCUUAACGACGACGAAACCCAACAAUCCGGCGGUGAUGUUGAGAGAGGGAAUGACUCCGGUGGUGAGGUUGAGUUUACAGACGACAAAGUUAAAGAGGACGCUGAGUACGAAGGCUGUGACCAUAGCUCUGUACGUGAUCUGGUUGUUCCAUGAGGGAACCUCUGUGUUCGUGAAAGCCUCCUCCACCGAAGAGAGUACGUUGUUCUCCCUCUGAUCAUCAAACUCAUUACUGUUAUUGUUUCUUUCUUCUGAUUCUUCUUCUUCGAAUCUUGCCCUCCUACUACUACUUUCCCCGCGGUUUCUUUCCAUGAUUUCUUUCUUGAGAUGAGAAAUAUUAACGUAGACGUAGCUAACUUAAGCUUAUCUCUCUCUCACUGUGGGUUUUUUCCUUUUUUUAUAUGUAAAUGGAUAUAUGUAUGUGUAAGUAUUUAUAGAGUAGAAAAACGAAAAUGUGUAUAAAGAUAAUCCUAACUAACUUAACGGUCAGUCUUUAUAACAAUUAGUUAUCUCUCUAGGUGACGAUCCAGUUGAGAAUUUAGAUGAAAACUGUGCAGAGUUGUGCACGUGUCUAACUGCAUGUGAGAUCAUUUUGUUUUGGAGAAGAGAAAAGCUAAAUUGUACUUACGGUAACUUGUACUUUCAUCAAAUCUCAUAUCUUUAUGUAAUUCAUUUAAUAUGGACUCUUAUUUAUUUUAUUUUAAUAAAUCAUUUUAUAGUGGUACCGAGCUCUUUGAUACUUAAUAACUAUGGGUAUGUUGGGUAACUAUUUUAAAAAUAGUUUUUUGUUUUUUUAAUCAAAAAUUUAAUAAUACAAAUAGAAAUUGUGUUUGGUAACUCAAUUUUAUUUUUUGUUUUUAAAAUUAAAAAACAAAAUGAAGUAAAUUUUAAAAACAGAUUUGUGAUGAUUUUAAAAAAUUUUAAAAACACUUUUUGCAUUUUCGCUUUUCUCUCUCGUUUAGUCACCUUCCUUAGCUCAGACAGUUCUUCCAUGGCUUAGCUUCACCAUUUCAGAUUUGAAAAUGAGAAUCGCAUGACAAUGAGAAUGGCUUCGUAGAGAGAAAGACUUUUUGCUUUUACAGCGAAGCUUUUGUUUGGCCUGAAAAACAUGAAGAAAUUUUUAUUGAACUUAUGGAGGAGCUUUAUGCACAAGCGAAGAGAAGUUACACUGAUACACAAUUAAGGAACAAAUACAAUCUGUUAAGACAAAAGCACAAGGAUUUCAAGUCUUUACUGAAAGAGACUGGCAUAGGAUUUAGUGUAGUGACUGGACAAGUUACUGCGCCAGAUGAAGUGUGGGAUAGGCUUAUUCGGGUUAACAAGUCAGCUAAAAAAUUUAGAAAAAAAGGGUUGUGUACUUUAUGGAAAGUUAUGCGUUAUUUUUGGUGAUACCACUGCAACUGGUUCCAAUGCUCAUCCUUCAACUCGGAGUCCUUCCAUAAAUGUUGAUAAUGAUGAUGAUGAUGCUAUGUCAAAGAGUCCAUCUAUUAGGAAUCAAGAAAGUAGUUUUGAUGAGGAUGGUAGCAAAAGAAGAGGUAAAUCAACUUCCACUACGAGUUCUCGAUCGGCAAAAAAAGCAAAGUUCUCACUCGCAUUAGCAGAAACAUUAACAGUGUAUAAUGAAAUCGCAAAGCGAAAGAUGGAAGUGUAUGAGAAUUCAAUGACAUCGACAAAACAUCACUUAUUGGAUGAGUGUAUCGAAGCUCUCAAUCAAAUUGAUGGAAUUAGCGGAGAAGUAUAUGCAAAGGCUAUUGAGAAAUUUGAGAGCGAGGUGUCUAGAGCAUUGUUUCUAAAAAUGCCAGAACAUAGAAGAAUUGAUUGGUUGAACUAUUUGAAGUGAUUUUUUCACUUUGUUUAACCUUUAAACUUUUUAAUUGUUGGGAUUUAUGAAUGACUUAGUUUGUAUGACUUUGUUUGUAAACAUGACUUUGUUUGUAAGCAUGACUUUGUUUGUAUGACUUUGUUUGUAAGUAUGACUUUGUUUGUAUGAAUGACUUGUUAGUAAUUUACUUUAGCUA